UUUAAUAAAAUGGUCCGAAAAUAAUCCCAACUUCAAAACACUGCAUCUCCCCCUCGUACACUCCAUCUCCAACCUCUGCCUUCUAUUCCCACCACCUCUCAGUGGCGGCGCCGACACCAUUACCUUAAAAAUUGACACCAAAACGUCCCCUCCACCUCCUCUUCAUGAAUAUCCACCUUUUACACUUCAAAUCCCACCCAAGAGCCUCAAAUCAGUGAAACCUCAGGACGCCGCCAUAGGUUCCUCCGCCUCCGCCGCAGCCCAAAUCCUACCAAACUCACAUCCUAGAGCCACCAUUCUUCCCCUCAUCUCAAAUUCCCGCUUGUUUUCUUUCAAAAGUUUCCGGAUCUAGUCGAAUCCUAAAGCCAAAAUUUUCAGACUUAGCCAUUAAAGGUCUUCAUAGCCAUGCAAGUGUGGCCCUCUGAAGUCACAUGAGUGUCCAAGACCAGGUCAACUUCCAAAUAACUAACGAUUUUAAACUCAAAGCGGUAAUGUCUUCUUUUUCUUUCUUAGUUCAUGAUUAAAUGAAUCUAUGGUUAUUCUUCUUCAUCUUUUCUCAUACCCUUGGUUCAAUGAGGUUCGAUUAGGUUAUCUAUUUUUUUUUUGUGUUAGUGUUCUGAUUGGUCAAAAAAAUGGGUUAUUUUAUUUCUGAUUCAAUAGCAUGUUUAGUUCUAUGCAUACGAUUGAUAAUCUAUUAAAUAAAUUGUUUAAUUGUGGAAAAUUAUGGAUAUUUGUGCAUUCUUGCUGAUACUUAAGGGCUUCUGGUUGUGUAGUUUAUCGACUGGGCUUAAUCCAUAUUCGAAAUAGCCCAGUUCAAAUUCAGUUUAUGCCAUUGGGCUUUUGACGCAUGGCCUGUCUUAGCUUAGGUACGAACAUGGGUUUCAAGGGGAGGCUACAUGUGAGGAAGUGAAGCAAAAUUUCAGGUGUAUUUGGGGAGGGAUAGGAGGAUCAUUUAGGGGGAAAUUGAAUGAACAAAGGUUCUAGAACCCUCCUAAUUCUGCUUAUAAAAGGCACCUCAUUCUGCCUUAAGUCACAAGUUUUCACCUCUAGUAUUCCCCCCAAAACUGUCCUGAAGUGCUCCAUAUCUGAAAUUCAAAUUCAAAUCAAACUUUCCCUUAGAAUUUAACUUCCUUUAUACAGAAAAAAAAAAGAAACUGGCUCAAAUCCAAAAACAAGAACAAAAAUACAGUAAGAAAUCAAAAAGAGCUCUGUUCCAUUGAGUUAGUAGGCUAUUUUUGGAGUUUUCAGUAAUGGCAAUGCAUUUUCAUGUUUAAGUUUUGGUGGCUCAGUGAUUUGGAGAAAUCCCGGUUAAUUUUCAAGUGAUUUGGGUAGUAUCUAUUUGGAUCUGGUUGGUUUCCGCUGGUGUUUUCUUCAUCUGUCAUUCGCUCCUGGGCUGUAGUGAUGCAACUUUGGCUUUCAAACUGAUCUUACUCUUAUGUUGCUGCUGGGUUUUAACUUCUAAUUGUUGGCUGCUCACUGCUGGCUCCUCCUUCCUUCUACUUUGCUUAAUUGCCAGGUACUUGCUUAAUCUCCAAUGGCCAGCUAAGGAAACUUGUAAUCAAAGCUUUUUAUUUGAAAUGAAAGGCUGAUUUGAGUGUUUGAAUUGGAUUACAUUUUAGAAUAGCAACAUUUGAAACUUAAUGAACUAGGACUUCGGUGAAUGUAACUGGACUCCUUCCAAAAGGGUCUUUGAAAGUAGGAGUUUGAAAUUGGUUUAGUUCUGUUUGAAUUAUUUCACCUGCUUUAGUUCCAAACUUUGAGGAAUCCAUAAGUCAGUUAAUUUUUCAUGUUCCAGCUAAUUUGAGUCAUUGAUCAGUGCUUUUCGUUCACUUGAAGUUUUGAAAGUAGAUUGCUAAUGAAUUAAAUAUGCCUGUACCGUAUAUUUCAUUUGAUUUAGAGUGUCAAUUUUCCUUGGUUCAUAUUGUUCUAGUUCACGUCUCGAUUGUCAGACUUGCAAUUCUGGGGAACUAAUUGAUUCAAUGGCACAACAUCUAUACGGAAUUUAUUUUUGCAGCAAUACCUUUCUUUCAUUUUAAAGAGCUCCAUAAGUAAUUGAAUGUGCUAAUUAGUAAUGAAUCUGAGGUUUUGAAUUAAAGAUUCCUCGAAUGCUAUCAAUAGUGGUUUAUUAAUGAUGCUGAUUAAAUGGGC
Molecule: long non-coding RNA, 2148 nt
Filed under: Nicotiana benthamiana
Lineage: Eukaryota; Viridiplantae; Streptophyta; Magnoliopsida; Solanales; Solanaceae
Description: long non-coding RNA (NBEN_LNC010877)
Source: RNAcentral